This 252-nucleotide ribosomal RNA is filed under the name uncultured Lactobacillus sp. Its description in RNAcentral is "partial 16S ribosomal RNA". It matches the Rfam family "Bacterial small subunit ribosomal RNA", at positions 94 to 339 of the family's 1533-position model. The record is from RNAcentral. Lineage: Bacteria; Bacillati; Bacillota; Bacilli; Lactobacillales; Lactobacillaceae.
AGUGGCGAACUGGUGAGUAACACGUGGGUAACCUGCCCAGAAGAAGGGGAUAACACCUGGAAACAGAUGCUAAUACCGUAUAACAACAAAAACCGCAUGGCUUUUGUUUGAAAGGUGGCUUCGGCUAUCACUUCUGGAUGGUUCCGCGGCGCAUUAGCUAGUUGGUGAGAUAAUAGCUCACCAAGGCGAUGAUACGUAGCAGACCUGAGAGGGUAAUCCGCCACAAUGGGACUGAGACACGGCCCAUACUCC